UACGUAGGGUGCAAGCGUUGUCCGGAAUUAUUGGGCGUAAAGAGCUCGUAGGCGGUUUGUUGCGUCGGCUGUGAAAUCCCGAGGCUCAACCUCGGGUCUGCAGUCGAUACGAGCAAACUAGAGUGUUGCAGGGGAGACUGGAAUUCCUGGUGUAGCGGUGAAAUGCGCAGAUAUCGGGAGGAACACCAGUGGCGAAGGCGACUUCCUGGCCUGUUCUUGACGCUGAGGCGCGAAAGCUAGGGGAGCAAACGGG
RNAcentral lists this ribosomal RNA (253 nucleotides) under uncultured bacterium. RNAcentral describes it as "partial 16S ribosomal RNA". It matches the Rfam family "Bacterial small subunit ribosomal RNA", at positions 524 to 776 of the family's 1533-position model. The record is from RNAcentral.